This 489-nucleotide ribosomal RNA is filed under the name uncultured bacterium. RNAcentral's name for it is "partial 16S ribosomal RNA". It matches the Rfam family "Bacterial small subunit ribosomal RNA", at positions 30 to 506 of the family's 1533-position model. The record is from RNAcentral.
AUUGAACGCUGGCGGCAGGCCUAACACAUGCAAGUCGAAUGGUAACAGGAAACAGCUUGCUGUUUCGCUGACGAGUGGCGGACGGGUGAGUAAUGUCUGGGAAACUGCCUGAUGGAGGGGGAGAACUACUGGAAACGGUAGCUAAUACCGCAUAACGUCGCAAGAACAAAGAGGGGGACCUUCGGGCCUCUUGCCAUCAGAUAUGCCCAGAUGGGAUUAGCUAGUAGGUGGGGUAACGGCUCACCUAGCCGACGAUCCCUAGCUGGUCUGAGAGGAUGACCAGCCACACUGGAACUGAGACACGGUCCAGACUCCUACGGGAGGCAGGAGUGGGGAAUAUUGCACAAUGGGCGCAAGCCUGAUGCAGCCAUGCCGCGUGUAUGAAGAAGGCCUUCGGGUUGUAAAGUACUUUGAGCGGGGAGGAAGGGAGUAAAGUUAAGACCUUUGCUCAUUGACGUUACCCGCAGAAGAAGCACCGGCUAACUCCGG